This 229-nucleotide ribosomal RNA is filed under the name uncultured bacterium. RNAcentral describes it as "partial 16S ribosomal RNA". It matches the Rfam family "Bacterial small subunit ribosomal RNA", at positions 568 to 796 of the family's 1533-position model. The record is from RNAcentral.
UGCGUAGGCGGGCUAAUAAGUCAGUGGUGAAAUCUUUCGGCUCAACCGAGAAACUGCCAUUGAUACUGUUAGUCUUGAGUUCGGUUGAGGUAGGCGGAAUGUGUAAUGUAGCGGUGAAAUGCUUAGAUAUUACACAGAACACCAAUUGCGUAGGCAGCUUACUAGACCGACACUGACGCUGAGGCACGAAAGCGUGGGUAGCGAACAGGAUUAGAUACCCUGGUAGUCC